This 496-nucleotide ribosomal RNA is filed under the name uncultured bacterium. Its description in RNAcentral is "partial 16S ribosomal RNA". It matches the Rfam family "Bacterial small subunit ribosomal RNA", at positions 30 to 523 of the family's 1533-position model. The record is from RNAcentral.
AUUGAACGCUGGGGGAAUGCUUUACACAUGCAAGUCGAACGGUAGAGGGGGCAACCCCUCGAGAGUGGCGAACGGGUGAGUAAUAUAUCGGAACGUGCCCAGUCGUGGGGGAUAACGUAGCGAAAGUUACGCCAAUACCGCAUACGAUCUAAGGAUGAAAGCGGGGGAUCGCAAGACCUCGCGCGAUUGGAGCGGCCGAUAUCAGAUUAGGUAGUUGGUGGGGUAAAGGCUCACCAAGCCAACGAUCUGUAGCUGGUCUGAGAGGACGACCAGCCACACUGGAACUGAGACACGGUCCAGACUCCUACGGGAGGCAGCAGUGGGGAAUUUUGGACAAUGGACGCAAGUCUGAUCCAGCCAUUCCGCGUGCAGGAUGAAGGCCCUCGGGUUGUAAACUGCUUUUGUACGGAACGAAAAGGUCUCUCUUAAUACUAGGAGCUCAUGACGGUACUGUAAGAAUAAGCACCGGCUAACUACGUGCCAGCAGCCGCCGUAA